This 402-nucleotide unclassified non-coding RNA is filed under the name soil metagenome. RNAcentral's name for it is "partial contains 5.8S ribosomal RNA, internal transcribed spacer 2, and large subunit ribosomal RNA". The stretch from base 1 to 121 matches the Rfam family "5.8S ribosomal RNA", at positions 35 to 154 of the family's 154-position model. The record is from RNAcentral.
GAUGAAGAACGCAGCGAAAUGCGAUAAGUAAUGUGAAUUGCAGAAUUCAGUGAAUCAUCGAAUCUUUGAACGCACCUUGCACCCUUUGGCUAUUCCGAAGGGUAUGCCUGUUUGAGUAUCAUGAACACCUCAACUCUCAUGGUUUGCCAUGAUGAGCUUGGACUUUGGGGGUCUUGCUGGCCUGUGGUCAGCUCCUCUCAAAUGGAUUAGCUUGCCAGUGUUUGGUGGCAUCACAGGUGUGAUAACUAUCUACGCUUGUGGUUUUCCACCAGGUAACCUUCAGCAAUGGGGGUUCGCUGGGGCUCAUAAAUGUCUCUCCUCAGUGAGGACAGCUCUUUGAACGUUUGAUCUCAAAUCAGGUAGGACUACCCGCUGAACUUAAGCAUAUCAACAAGCGGAGGA